This 1678-nucleotide long non-coding RNA is filed under the name Mus spicilegus (steppe mouse). RNAcentral's name for it is "lncRNA (ENSMSIG00000023283.1)". The record is from RNAcentral. Lineage: Eukaryota; Metazoa; Chordata; Mammalia; Rodentia; Muridae.
UAUGCACAUACCCAGACACCUGGCGAAAAGCAAUUUAAAGACACAUUUAUUUUGGCUCACAUCUGGAAGGCAUGUAGCCCCAGCACAGCAGACAAGCAUGGAAGCAGAAGCCUGUGGCCAUAUGGUCACUGUAUCCAGUUAGGAAGCAGAGUGACCAGGAAAUGCUGGCAGGCUCUAAAAGCCCCUGACCCACCGAAGGGAUCCACUUCCUCCUGAAGUCCGACACCCUUCCGGAACCCAUGCUACCAUCAGCUGAGAACCAAGUGCUCAAAACCACAAUCUGUAAAGUUACCCCUAGAAAUCAACACGUGCAAUGUUGGGCCCCAUUUUGGUCCUGGUUUGGGCCUUGAGGACAAACCUGAGCCAGGCUCAAGGUUUGAGACCCUGCCUUCUAUAUCAUCUUACCCCACCCAAAACCCCCCUCCCUAUGUUCCCAACCUAUAUAAGCGAGAGGCUGAUGCCAUAAAGUUGAGUUCCUGCUUCAUCAAGACUCCCGGCUCGGUGUGUUUCUUUUGGGCCAUCCUGCUCAGGCCCAGAGAGACCCCGACAGGACCGGGACCUCUCUCCUCUUUCCUGGACCUGACAGCAAGGAGCCAGCAGACUGGUCCUCCAGGUGAGGAACCCCUCCCCCCUGACAGAAGAACACUGACGGGCCAAUCUGUCUGCAGGCCAAGAUGAUCAAGAAAAUGGCCCUGCUGCAGACAUGGAUGCUGCUCCCCAUCUUGACUGAGGGAGGAUUCGGUGACCCCCAAGGAGCACAAGAGAUCCUCAAAACACAGUUGGGUAAUCCCUGUGACUGUAAAGGAGAUGCUUAUAGCCUGGGAGGCACUACCCUACAGGUUAUUUACUGUGGAUGCUAAUCGAUCCAGGAUGCUGCAAAACAAGAUAAAGAAGCUCAGGAAGACCUAGAAAGGAGGCAGAGAGUUCCAAGACAACCUGUUGUGGACUGGAUUUCAUGGCCUAUUACCCUAUUUCCUCCCCCUCCUUGGCCCCUUCCUUCUUCUCCUUAUCUUGACUGUCGGGCCAUAUGUGCUCAAUAAGCUCACUCAAUUUAUCAGAGGCUAGAGGUGUUCUGGCUUCACCAAGUUGAGAUCCAUUACCAAAGACUUUUCUCUUCUGAAACAGGCUGUACAUAUCCCUCUGCCUAUGAGCACCCCCUCCUCAGCUCUCCACCUGACCAGCGACAGGUAAGAUCUUAGAUGUGCUGGGACAACCUAAGACAGGUCAUGGAGUACCCCCCCUUUUUGAGCCAGAGUGAAACAUGGUAUCCAGAGACGGGUAAGAUCCCCAUGUGGUGGACAACCUAAGACAGGAGCCAUGUAACCUGCUCAUUAUAAAAUCAAAAGGGGGAGAUGUUGGGCCCCAUUUUGGGCCUUGAGAACAAACCUGAGCCUGGCUUGAGUUUUGAGACCCGUCUUAGUCACUUUCAUAUCGUCUUAGUCACUUUCAUAUCGAAGGUGAUCCAACAAGGCCCGUUUGGCCCUGCCUCUGUCCCACUACUGCUGAUGUAGAGCUUUGCCAUUGGCCCAGUCAGUCACUACAUAGCCUCUGUCACCUUUCCCUACUCCACCCCCCUUAUGUUCCAAACUUAUAUGAGAGACUGGUGCCAUAAAGUUGAGUUCCUGCUUUGACAAGACUCUUGGCUCAGUGUAUUUCUUUUAGGCCAAUCAGCCUGGGA